GGUCUCCGGUAAAACAGUCCUCUAGUCUUCUGGCUGACUCUCAGCAGCCAGACCUGGCGUUGCAACUCUGAGUCUAGAUACGUAUUCAGAGGAAUUAAACAAAGAGUAAAAGGGUGAGUUGUCUCUGGCUUCUGGCUUCUGGCUUCUGGCUUCUGGCCUCUGUCUCAGGGAUUCACCUCGUGUCUCUGGUGCCAUGGUUGCAUCCAGUGUGAGAAUGCCAAGGAUCUCGUUAUGACAGAAUGAUUUUAGAGGCGAUGUUUAUCCAUUUUUGACUUCUACAAGGAGUUG
This 288-nucleotide long non-coding RNA is filed under the name Malus domestica (apple). RNAcentral describes it as "long non-coding RNA (MDOM_LNC003284)". Lineage: Eukaryota; Viridiplantae; Streptophyta; Magnoliopsida; Rosales; Rosaceae. The record is from RNAcentral.